UACAGAGGUCUCAACCGUUGUUCGGAUUCAUUGGGCGUAAAGGGCGUGCAGGCGGUUUGUUUAGUCCAGGGUGAAAGCUCCCGGCUCAACUGGGAGAGGUCCUUGGAUACUGGCAGACUUGAGGGAGGCAGAGGAAAGUGGAAUUCCCGGUGUAGUGGUGAUAUGCGUAGAUAUCGGGAGGAACACCAGUGGCGAAGGCGGCUUUCUGGGCCUUACCUGACGCUGAGAUGCGAAAGCGUGGGGAGCGAACCGG
This 253-nucleotide ribosomal RNA is filed under the name uncultured prokaryote. RNAcentral's name for it is "partial 16S ribosomal RNA". It matches the Rfam family "Bacterial small subunit ribosomal RNA", at positions 524 to 776 of the family's 1533-position model. The record is from RNAcentral.